This is a long non-coding RNA of Zea mays, 385 nucleotides long. RefSeq lists it as uncharacterized. The transcript is spliced from 2 exons. The record is from RefSeq and is a predicted model, not a curated record. Lineage: Eukaryota; Viridiplantae; Streptophyta; Magnoliopsida; Poales; Poaceae.
GGACCCUAGUUGUCAGCUUGGCUCCGCCGCACGCGUGUCACCUGUUUUGGCCGCACCACUCACUGCACAUGGGACCUGGUAGUCACAGUAUUCCCCGCAUCGUGCGCACGUCGCUGAGCUCAACAAACCGCGCAUGGUUUGCGGAUUCCGUUGCGGGGAAUCUGGAAUCGAGCUGGCCAAGGCUAUUUAGCCAUAACGCGACCGGUUCCCUACCCACCAUUGGGAGCUAUUGCAUCGCGCCGUGGUGUGGAGCAAGGGGGGAUUCGCCUUCACCGUCGAUCGCCGCGUGCGCCUCUCGGCAUAUCCGCCACUACACUAGACGAGCAAACUACUGUGGAUCCUGAGGCCCAGCAGAUAGAAGUAGCUGAGCAGGAGCUCAUUGAAG